AUCGAUACACACCUUUAUCGGGUUCGGGUUCUCAUACAGUCAUAUGUCCAUGUUACGGCGCUCGUUUACGGGAAGCAGAGUAGACAACCUGUGGCUCUUAGCGCUCUGCGUCUCCCAACACCGGUGUGUAGAUGGACGACAGAAGCUACAAAACCUUUCUCUGCUGCCUGUGACUGGAACGAAUUGCAGAAAUCGCUCAAGUUGGAGACAUUUAUCUCCCUCACCAACUUCAAACAACUGAUAUCUGAGCAGCUAACCGAUCGUUGCAGCUGUACAUAGUCUUAUCGGGGUGAUGGUCGGAUUCGCGCUCAUCGUCAAAGGAAUGAGCGUUAUGCUGAGGCCUGUACUCUGGAGCGG
Oncorhynchus masou masou (cherry salmon) is the source of this 357-nucleotide long non-coding RNA. RefSeq lists it as uncharacterized. NCBI's taxonomy places the organism in Eukaryota, Metazoa, Chordata, Actinopteri, Salmoniformes, Salmonidae. The record is from RefSeq and is a predicted model, not a curated record. The transcript has 3 exons.